This 274-nucleotide ribosomal RNA is filed under the name uncultured bacterium. RNAcentral describes it as "partial 16S ribosomal RNA". It matches the Rfam family "Bacterial small subunit ribosomal RNA", at positions 523 to 796 of the family's 1533-position model. The record is from RNAcentral.
AUACGAAAGGUGCAAGCGUUGUUCGGAUUUACUGGGCGUAAAGAGAUCGUAGGUGGUUUAUUAAGUCGGAUGUGAAAUCCCGGGGCUCAACCCCGGAACUGCAUUCGAUACUGGUAGACUAGAGUUUGGGAGGGGUAAGCGGAAUUCCGUGUGUAGCAGUGAAAUGCGUAGGUAUACGGAGGAACACCUGAGGCGAAGGCGGCUUACUGGACCAAUACUGACACUGAGGAUCGAAAGCGUGGGUAGCAAACAGGAUUAGAUACCCUAGUAGUCC